This 302-nucleotide ribosomal RNA is filed under the name uncultured bacterium. RNAcentral's name for it is "bacterial SSU rRNA". It matches the Rfam family "Bacterial small subunit ribosomal RNA", at positions 28 to 334 of the family's 1533-position model. The record is from RNAcentral.
GAUGAACGCUGGCGGCGUGCCUAAUACAUGCAAGUCGAACGCAUCUAGCAAUAGAUGAGUGGCGAACGGGUGAGUAAGACAUAAGCAACCUAGCCUUUUGAGGGGGAUAACUGCUGGAAACGGCAGCUAAGACCGCAUAGGCAUAUUGAUCGCAUGAGAGAUAUGUUAAAUAUCCUACGGGAUAGCGAAGGGAUGGGCUUAUGACGCAUUAGCUAGUUGGAGGGGUAACGGCCCGCCAAGGCGACGAUGCGUAGCCGGCCUGAGAGGGUGGACGGCCACACUGGGACUGAGACACGGCCCAG